AUGAGAUUUUACUUUGAAAUACAGAGACCUGCCAAGUGCAUGAUUUUCCUCUAUUGCUUUACCUGCUUCCAGGAAUUAGAAAUUAAUCAAUAUAAAUCUUUGGAUCUGGAAAAUUUCAAGCACAUAUUCAAGAAAUGCAUGGGAUCACAGAAUGUAAAUGAUGAACAAUUAGAAGAACUUUUCAUGAAAAUUGACUAUUCUGCAACUGGCAGAAUUAAGUGGCAUGAUUUCUGCACCUACAUGCAUCUGGAAUAUGCUGAACAGGACAGAUUCUCGAGUCGUCUGAAAAGAGUUGACUUCUCACUUCCAGCGGAAAUAAAGGAGAUCCCACAUGGAGAACCUGUGCUACACAUUUGCUCACUGUCAGACAGCACCCUCAUAACAGCCAGAGAAGAUGGAAAUAUUUCUUUCUGGUCACCAGAACUCAAGCUAAAACGAAGCAAGAUGGUUUUCGAUAAAACUCACAAAAGAUCAAAAUGGCUUAUGGAUUUCACUGUUAUGAUUCCGUACAAUAAAUUAAUACUGGCAACUGGGUAAGUUUCUCACAUACAAUAACAAAAACAAAAACCUUUGUCAAGAUUUCUUUUAUCCACAACUUAACUGAGAAAAGUUCCAUUAUGAAACAGUUUGGAAACUUGGAUGGAAUUCGAGAGACAGGACUAUGACAAAAAUACCAAACUAUAACUUGCCACUUAAUUAAGAAAGGCAGCCUAUGACUAGAACUUCUUGAAUUUAAGCAAAUAAGCAGCUUUGGGCGGCCCUCAUUUUAGAUUUGAACCAUAAUACUAGAAAAUAAAUAUUAAGGUCUUUAAGGAGGCAUAUUUUUAUUAGGAAGAUGGUUUGAGGGGAAAUUAUCUUCCCACUCUAAAUUGUUUUCAUAAUGAAAUUGGUUUUCUCAAAGCUAAUGUAAGAAAUAUGCUGGAUCAGUUCAAAGAUCUCUUUAACCCAGCAUUUUGACAUAAGCAUGGUGCCUCUUAUCUUGGCAUUCAUAUACAGCAGUGGUUCCCAACCUUUUUUUGAUCAAGGACCACUUUGACCAGGGACCACAUUGACCAAGGAUCACUUUGACCAGUUACCACUCUCCAAUAUUAAUACCAAAAGUUUUACGAAUAAAUUUUUGGUGAACUUUAGAUUCAGUUUAGUUAUUUGGGGAGCUGAUUCAGAAAAUUGCAUUAGAUAGACCACAUCAGCUCUAGUUUCUGAUACAGAACAUAUGCCAUCCAGCAGUUGCCAUCUGCUUGCCCACAGAAAACCAUAUUUAAUAAUCUAGAGCUGAUGUGGUCUGAAUCAGCACUCCAAAUAACCCCAGGACAGGCCUAAAAAUGAAGACACCAAUGAAGACACCCCUUGCUUCCAGGCGCCACAUGGAACGACUCCGCUCGGGAAGUGAGGAGGAGGAGGAGAAACAGCAGUCAGGAGGCUUGUUGUAGUGCCUUUCGUGGGUAG
This 1446-nucleotide long non-coding RNA is filed under the name Anolis carolinensis (green anole). RNAcentral's name for it is "lncRNA (ENSACAG00000030630.2)". The record is from RNAcentral. Lineage: Eukaryota; Metazoa; Chordata; Lepidosauria; Squamata; Anolidae.